RNAcentral lists this ribosomal RNA (370 nucleotides) under uncultured organism. Its description in RNAcentral is "partial 16S ribosomal RNA". It matches the Rfam family "Bacterial small subunit ribosomal RNA", at positions 527 to 896 of the family's 1533-position model. The record is from RNAcentral.
GAACUGCGCAAACGUUAUUCGGAAUCACUGGGCUUAAAGGGUGCGUAGGCGGCUUGUCAAGUAGGGUGUGAAAUCUCUCGGCUCAACCGAGAAACUGCGCUCUAAACUGACUCGCUUGAGUGCGAUAGGGGUGUGCGGAACUUCUGGUGGAGCGGUGAAAUGUGUUGAGAUCAGAAGGAACGCCGGUGGCGAAAGCGGCACACUGGGUCGUAACUGACGCUGAGGCACGAAAGCUAGGGGUAGCGAACGGGAUUAGAUACCCCGGUAGUCCUAGCUGUAAACGAUGAGCACUAGACGGGAGAGGGUUCGCCCUUUUCGGUCGUAGCGAAAGCGUUAAGUGCUCCGCCUGGGGAGUAUGGUCGCAAGGCUG